This 465-nucleotide ribosomal RNA is filed under the name Vreelandella stevensii. RNAcentral's name for it is "partial 16S ribosomal RNA". It matches the Rfam family "Bacterial small subunit ribosomal RNA", at positions 338 to 795 of the family's 1533-position model. The record is from RNAcentral. Lineage: Bacteria; Pseudomonadati; Pseudomonadota; Gammaproteobacteria; Oceanospirillales; Halomonadaceae.
CCUACGGGUGGCUGCAGUGGGGAAUAUUGGACAAUGGGGGCAACCCUGAUCCAGCCAUGCCGCGUGUGUAAAGAAGGCCCUCGGGUUGUAAAGCACUUUCAGUGAGGAAGAACGCCUGGUGGUUAAUACCCAUCAGGAAAGACAUCACUCACAGAAGAAGCACCGGCUAACUCCGUGCCAGCAGCCGCGGUAAUACGGAGGGUGCGAGCGUUAAUCGGAAUUACUGGGCGUAAAGCGCGCGUAGGUGGCUUGAUAAGCCGGUUGUGAAAGCCCCGGGCUCAACCUGGGAACGGCAUCCGGAACUGUCAAGCUAGAGUGCAGGAGAGGAAGGUAGAAUUCCCGGUGUAGCGGUGAAAUGCGUAGAGAUCGGGAGGAAUACCAGUGGCGAAGGCGGCCUUCUGGACUGACACUGACACUGAGGUGCGAAAGCGUGGGUAGCAAACAGGAUUAGAUACCCCAGUAGUC